UACGAGGGGGGCGAGCGUUGUUCGGAAUUAUUGGGCGUAAAGGGUGCGUAGGCGGUUUGGUAAGUCUGAUGUGAAAUCUAUGGGCUCAACUCAUAGUCUGCAUCGGAAACUGCCGGGCUUGAGUGUGGGAGAGGUGAGUGGAAUUCCGAGUGUAGAGGUGAAAUUCGUAGAUAUUCGCAAGAACACCAGUGGCGAAGGCGGCUCACUGGCCCGGUACUGACGCUGAGGUGCGAAAGCGUGGGGAGCAAACAGG
This 253-nucleotide ribosomal RNA is filed under the name uncultured bacterium. Its description in RNAcentral is "partial 16S ribosomal RNA". It matches the Rfam family "Bacterial small subunit ribosomal RNA", at positions 524 to 776 of the family's 1533-position model. The record is from RNAcentral.